RNAcentral lists this transfer RNA (90 nucleotides) under Avibacterium paragallinarum. RNAcentral's name for it is "tRNA-Ser". It matches the Rfam family "tRNA". Rfam says of the family: Transfer RNA (tRNA) molecules are approximately 80 nucleotides in length. Their secondary structure includes four short double-helical elements and three loops (D, anti-codon, and T loops). Further hydrogen bonds mediate the characteristic L-shaped molecular structure. tRNAs have two regions of fundamental functional importance: the anti-codon, which is responsible for specific mRNA codon recognition, and the 3' end, to which the tRNAs corresponding amino acid is attached (by aminoacyl-tRNA synthetases). tRNAs cope with the degeneracy of the genetic code in two manners: having more than one tRNA (with a specific anti-codon) for a particular amino acid; and 'wobble' base-pairing, i.e. permitting non-standard base-pairing at the 3rd anti-codon position. Lineage: Bacteria; Pseudomonadati; Pseudomonadota; Gammaproteobacteria; Pasteurellales; Pasteurellaceae. The record is from RNAcentral.
GGUGAGAUGUCCGAGUGGUUGAAGGAGCACGCUUGGAAAGCGUGUAUGUGCGAAAGUGCAUCGGGGGUUCGAAUCCCCCUCUCACCGCCA